RNAcentral lists this long non-coding RNA (1584 nucleotides) under Ananas comosus (pineapple). Its description in RNAcentral is "long non-coding RNA (ACOM_LNC007818)". Lineage: Eukaryota; Viridiplantae; Streptophyta; Magnoliopsida; Poales; Bromeliaceae. The record is from RNAcentral.
AUAGCUUAACUAAAUAUCACGGAGACUUUUGUCAGUCUCGUGUUUUCGUGUCGGACACUCAUGUAUCCGUAUCAGAUACGUGUCCGAAGUGAGCACUACUCCUUGGAUGCGCGUUUAAUCUCAACACACAACGCAAACAAUUAAAAAAAAGAUAUACAUAUUUUUAUUUUAUUUUUUUUAUGCUUUAUAAAUUCAAGAUGAUAAAUAUUUUAACUUUCGGGUGAAUAUGUACAAAUUUUAAAUUUUUUUUACAAUAUAAAUUAAUUUGUAUGUUGUAGAAUUUUUUUAAAAAAUAUGUAAAUUAUCAAUAAAAAUNAGAGAGAGAGAGAGAGAGAGAGAGAGUAUAUAUAUAUAUAUAUAGAGAGAGAGAGAGAGAGAGAGAGAGAGUUGAGCUAGAAUACUAUCGGUAGUAAACGAGCUAUUUUACUACCGAUUUGUUUUCGAUGAUAGAACUUCCAAAUUGACGAUCGGCUCCGUUGAACAUGAUCUAUACCACUUGAAGUGUUUAGAAAUCAAAUUUCAAAUCUUUUCGACAUCAUUUGCCUAAUGAUUUGUUUCAAAAUUUGUAAUUUUAAUAGUCGAUAAGAGGCGUUUUCUCGUUUAACGGCGUAAUGAUAUCCAAAUCAAUUGAAUUUUUGUUAGAAAAUUCUUUAAACUAUUUAAAACAAAAUCUAUACUCUUGAUCUUAAUUACAAGACUCCUAUAUAUCAUCAUUUUUUAAAGAGUAUUUAUUUUUAGCCAUUCAUUUUUCUGUUUACUUGAUGGAUAAAAGAACAAUAUCGAAAGUGCGUGAAAUUUGAUUUCUAGGUAGUUUAAAUGGUUUAGAUCAUAUUUAACAGAGCCGAUCGUCAAUUUGGAAGUUCUAUCAUCAAAAACAAAUCGGUAGUAAAACGGCUCGUUUACUACCGAUAGUAUUCUAGCUCAACUAUAUAUAUAUAUAUAUAUAGUCUGGCUGCUAUACUAUCGGUAGCACGGAGGCUUCCGUGCUACCAAGUUGUUUUUGAUGAUGCGGCUUCCAAAUCGACGAUCAGCGACGUUAUACUUGAUCUACACUAUUGAAAGUAUUUGGAAACUAAAUUUCAGAAUUUUUGAACAUCAUUUGGCUAGUGAUUAAAAGGUCUCUAAAUUAACAAUUUUAAUAAUAGAUGUGAUGCAUUUGUAAAUUUAACAGUGUAAAACGAUCCAAAUCAGAUGGAAUUUUUAUAGAAAUUUUUUUUUACUCUACAGAGUAAGAUCAGUAUCUCUGAUCUUAAAUUCAAGUUUUCUAUCAUCAUUUUUUAUGAGAUUUUUAUUUUCAGCCGUUCAUUUUCAGACUACUCGUUUGAUAAGUAAAUAAUAUCGAAAAAUUAUGAAAUUUAGUUUUCAAAUACUUUCAAUAGUGUAGAUCAAGUCUAACGGAUCCGAUCGUCGAUUUGGAUGCGGUAUCAUUGAAAACAACUUGGUAGUACAGAGGCCUUCGUGCUACCGAUAGUAUACCAGUCUAGCUCUCUCUAUAUAUAUAUUAUAUUAAUAAGAUUAUAUUUUAUUAGCAAUAUUAGUAUUUUAUUCGUAUUUUAAUUAUUUGAAAGUUGGCGAAUUGUCGUG